This 97-nucleotide microRNA precursor is filed under the name Marmota monax (woodchuck). Lineage: Eukaryota; Metazoa; Chordata; Mammalia; Rodentia; Sciuridae. The record is from RNAcentral.
AGUGCUAUUACUGGAGAGUAUAAUAUGUUUAACUUUAAAAGAAACUGCUAAAGUGUCUCCUAGAGUAGCAGUACCAUUUUGUGUUUCCACCAACAAU